UGGAUUUGGGAAAGGUAGCGGGCUUCUCAUCCAAUGAGGGCAGGCUGUGAGUUGCCGAAACGGAAGGGGCCUCUGUUUUUACAGAAGGUGGGGCCUCCGUUGCCAUUGAGGAGGGGUCUUUUGUUUCUAAGGAAGUUGGGGCCUCGGUUUCUACAGCCGGCAGAGCCUUUGUUGCCAGGGAGCCUGAGACCUCUGAUACCAAGAAGGAAGGAACCUCUGUGGCCACGGGAGAAGGAAUACCCAUUUCCCUGGAGUCUGAGGCUUCAGUUGCCAGGGAGGAUGGUGCCUCAGUUACCAGGCUGGGCAAAUCUGGAGCAUCUUCUGAGCUUCCGACGGGUUCUGAUAAGGGAGACGAGAGCUGGCAUCAGUGCUGCCAGCAGGACCCCACAUUCCUCACCCCACUGCAGCCAAGGCCCAGUCUGCUCAGGAAUCGCUGCUUAAACCGGCUGAGGGUCCACCAGAUACCACUGAGCAUCUUACAGCAUUUGGGAGAAGGAGUGGGGACCUUGUGGCCUCAAGGCAGCAUGUGGCCCUCCAGAUCACCAAGUGCAGCCCUCGAUGAUGGAGUCCAAACUUCA
Molecule: long non-coding RNA, 578 nt
Organism: Lemur catta (Ring-tailed lemur)
Lineage: Eukaryota; Metazoa; Chordata; Mammalia; Primates; Lemuridae
Exons: 3
Source: RefSeq, a predicted model, not a curated record